AGAGUUUGAUCCUGGCUCAGGAUGAACGCUGGCGGCGUGCGUAACACAUGCAAGUUGAGCGACGACGUGCUUGAAGUGGCAACAUGGAAAGUACGAGCGGAGCAGCGGACGGGUGAGUACAACAUGAGAAGCUGUCCUUUGGUGGGGGACAACGUCUGGAAACGGACGCUAAUACCCCAUAGGCCGAGAGGUUAAAGCCGUAAGGCGCCAAGGGGGGUGCUCGUGUCCUAUCAGCUAGUUGGUGAGGUAAUGGCUCACCAAGGCGACGACGGGUAGCCGACCUGAGAGGAAGAUCCCCCACACUGGGACUGAGACACGGCCCAGACUCCUACGGGAGGCAGCAGUGAGGAAUAUUGGACAAUGGGGGCAACCCUGAUCCAGCCAUGCCGCGUGCGGGACUCACGCCCUAUGGGUCGUAAACCGCUUCUGUUGGGGAGCAAUAAGGUCUACGUGUAGACUGAUGAGAGUACCCAGCGAAUAAGCAUCGGCUAACUCCGUGCCAGCAGCCGCGGUAACACGGAGGAUGCGAGCGUUAUCCGGAUUUAUUGGGUUUAAAGGGUGCGUACGCGGAAUGGUAAGUCAGUGGUGAAAUACCCGCGCUCAACGUGGGCCGUGCCAUUGAUACUGUCAUUCUAGAGUCCUGUUGCCGUGGGAGGAAUGAGUAGUGUAGCGGUGAAAUGCAUAGAUAUUACUCAGAACACCCGAUUGCGAAGGCAUCUCACGAAGCAGGAACUGACGCUGAGGCACGAAAGCGUGGGGAUCGAACAGGAUUAGAUACCCUGGUAGUCCCACGCAGUAAACGAUGAUGGCUAACCGUCGGCGAUAGACAGCCGGUGGCCAAGCGAAAGCGAUAAGCCAUCCACCUGGGGAGUACGACCGCAAGGUUGAAACUCAAAGGAAUUGACGGGGGCCCGCACAAGCGGAGGAACAUGUGGUUUAAUUCGAUGAUACGCGAGGAACCUUACCCGGGCUCGAACGGUGCAGGAAGGACCCAGAGAUGGGGACGCCCUUCGGGGCCUGUAUCGAGGUGCUGCAUGGUUGUCGUCAGCUCGUGCCGUGAGGUGUCGGCUCAAGUGCCAUAACGAGCGCAACCCUUGCCGUCAGUUACCAGCACGUAGAGGUGGGGACUCUGGCGGGACUGCCACCGCAAGGUGAGAGGAAGGGGGGGAUGACGUCAAAUCAGCACGGCCCUUACGUCCGGGGCGACACACGUGUUACAAUGGUGGGUACAGAGGGGAGCCAUACAGUGAUGUAGCGCAGAUCUCAAAAACCCAUCUCAGUUCGGAUCGGAGUCUGCAACCCGACUCCGUGAAGCUGGAUUCGCUAGUAAUCGCGCAUCAGCCAUGGCGCGGUGAAUACGUUCCCGGGCCUUGUACACACCGCCCGUCAAGCCAUGAAAGCUGGGGGCGCCUGAAGUCCGUGACCGAGAGGAGCGGCCUAGGGCGAAACCGGUAAUUGGGGCUAAGUCGUAACAAGGUAACCGUA
RNAcentral lists this ribosomal RNA (1485 nucleotides) under uncultured rumen bacterium. RNAcentral describes it as "bacterial SSU rRNA". It matches the Rfam family "Bacterial small subunit ribosomal RNA". The record is from RNAcentral.